Molecule: long non-coding RNA, 6818 nt
Organism: Dreissena polymorpha
Lineage: Eukaryota; Metazoa; Mollusca; Bivalvia; Myida; Dreissenidae
Exons: 2
Source: RefSeq, a predicted model, not a curated record
UUGCAUAAUUCUGGACGUGAGUAGUUUCACGUCAAUUUUCACUGAUUAAACAUUUGUAAUUUAAGGCAUUAUAUGUCAAAUAAAAGGUUACGUAUUUUACGUAGUAUUUUGAACUCUGGUAUAAGGAAUACUUUGCAUAUCAAUUUUUGGGUCGGCGACCCCGUUUUCUACAGAAAAUUUGAGUGAAAAGGUGGGAUCAGUCACGAUGGCGUGGUGUACACAAACAAAGGAAUUUCGGAACAAAGAAUAUUCACUACCGGUAAAGAUGGCUGUGGUCAAGGGCCUCAAAGUGCAACUUUUUGGUCAUUCUUUUGUCAAAAGGCUGAAGGACUACAUUCAAAAUGACAGCUCACAGCGUCACGAUUUAAACUUGCAAUGAAAUGCUCUUGUUCAAUAUUCCGGAUUCCCGGGCGCUACAGUAAAGGAAUUGAGGAGACAUCUGGAAGAGGUUAGUGAUUUCAGUCCAAACAUUCUUGUGCUGAUCAUUGGGACAAUCGACAUCUACAAUUCGGAUGUUACUCCGGAAAGUGUUGCUCGGGAUAUUGAGAAUUUAAUAGACACUCUUUUGUUUGUGAUUGGAGUGGGAAAAUUCAUAGUGUUACAAGUUUUACACAGACAGGUUCCGUUAUCUCAUACAAGAUAUCCAGUCGACGUGGAUUGGUUCAAUGAACGUGUUGACGAUAUGAAUUUCCAUCUGAUAGAGAUGCUCAAUUGCACUGGUCAUGGUCGUUCAUACCUAUGGCGUAUGAAGGGGUUUUGGUCUCCUGCUUCCAAACAACAAAAUUUUGCAGACGAUGGUUGAUACCUGUCCAGUGCCGGUCAGCUCCACCUAAUUACAAAUGUCAGAGCUGCUGUGGUCGCCUCCCUGAAGGGUUCUAUUUGCCAUUCAUAAGAUACAUCAUGAAACGCACCAGCCGUCCUAAGAAGGGUACGCAUUCGGCGUGUACCUGUUGUUCCGGACAAAAACAAGCACACAAGCGCAAAAACAAUGAUGCCCCAACCUCAACAAAAGGCAAAGGCCCGAAAAAACAAAAGACUCACAACAUUCUGCCCCUGGAGGCCAAUCUAGAUGACGAUGUGAAUGACAACUUCAGCAGUGAUGAAGAAACAUCGGUUCGUUUGCCAGCUGCUCCAAGUACAGCAACAACCCUUGGUGUACAAACAUCCUCAUCUGCGAGUCCUCACAUGCCAGCAGUUCCCCCGCAUCUACCAGUAGAAUCAGAUUCUUCUUCAGACUCCGAAUCGGAUGAAGACGAUCACUAUCUCUUCCCAAGCUUAAAAUAGGCCGUGUCUCAACACACAAAUUCCUUGGCAGGCAAUGGCAUUCAGUUCGCAGAACCCGUUGGCACUCCAAUCAUUAAUCAAAUUAAAAGUAAGACGCGCAAACUUAUUUGGAAGAAUAAGUUUGUGGAUAUGGCGUUUCUGCUGCCGUCAUCGCAAAAUCCGUCCACUCCGCAAUUUACACUCCAACUGGACGACCAACACAAUUUUACCAUUAACCUAACUUCACGUAGCAAAACAAAAUCAAUACCAUUGAAGCAUGGACCACAGCAUUCAUUAGAUUCAUGGCCGUUUACCUACACAAAUACCCCUUUGAGGCCCAACAGCUCCUGAAAUAUAUGGAUAUUGUACGCGACAUUGCCAGGCGCCGCCCCGGGAUGGCCUUUCUCUAUUACGACACGCAGUUUCGCUUGCUGCGCGAGUCAGUUCUUAUGCCCUGAGACCGUAUUCAUACGGAAUAUUGGUUAAUGGCCUGCAUGUCUUUCCAACAACCGCAGCAGCCCUUUCGGCUCAAGCAACCACAAAACAGGUCAUACAGUACUGGACCCCCCUCCAACGGUUUCUCGAAAAAAAAUAUGCUGGCAUUUCAAUAAGCGAACCUUUUGUCGUAACCCAAAAUGCACACAGCCCCACAUCUGUGGCUUUUGUAGAGGUCCACAUGCAGCAUACAACUGCAAAUUCAGAAACAAAGAACAGGCAUCCAAAGCCCAGUCUCAAUCAAACAUCGACCCUGCUAAGUCAACAAAGUAACAAUCUUGUAGUUACCCCAAUAAAAGUCUCUGCACUAACACCAUUUCUUCAGGACUAUCCAUUAGCACACUAUCUGAUUUUAUGUUUUACACAUGGUUUUAAAUUGGGUUACACAGGUCAACACAAGGCUUCCACAUCCCCAAAUCUGAAGUCUUGUGAUGAGAACCCUGACAUAGUGCAAAGUAAACUUCAGGCAGAACUAAAUUCAGGUCGUGUAAAAGGCCCCUUUACGUCCCCUCCUUUCGAAAACUUCCGGGUAAGUCCCAUUGGCCUUGUUCCCAAGAAAACACCGGGACAAUUUAGGUUGAUUCAACAUCUAAGUUAACCACGCGGAAAUUCCGUGAACGAUUUUAUAGAUCCUAACUUAUCUAGUGUUAACUAGAGUUCCUUUGAUGAUGCAGUCAACAAACUACUGGAACUGGGUACAGGAACCUUAUUCUGUAAAACGGACAUAGAUUCUGCUUUUCGUUUACUUCCUAUUCAUGCAAACGAUCAUCACUUAUUAGGGUUCAAAUUUAGGGGUCAGUAUUAUUUUGAUACGUGUCUUCCAAUGGGAGCGUCCUCAUUCUGUGCAAUUUGUGAACGUUUUAGUUGAAGCCUUCAACACAUUUCGGAAAAUAUCUUAAAAAUUAAACACAUGGUACACAUUCUCGAUGAUUUUCUCAUAUUAGGCCCUGCAAACUCACACAGCUGUCAACAUGAUCUUAACAAAUUCCUUAAUUUCUGUUCAAAAAUAGGCGUUCCGAUUAAAGAGGAAAAAACAGAGAAUGCUCGAACUAUUAUCAUUUUUAUGGGUCUUGAACUAGAUUCUAAUAUGAUGGACGCCCGCUUGCCUCAAGACAAAUUGGAAAAAAUGAGGAUGCAACUUGCCUCAGUAGCAAAGCAUCGCAAGGUCACCCUUAAAGAAUUACAAUCCCUUCUAGGUUUGUUAAAUUUCUGCUGCCAGUGCGAGCUAUGUUCUUAGUAGCCUUUUUCGGACUAUUACGGGUCGGCGAAUUGGCACAUUCACCGAAAGGUUUUCAAAACACCAUUAAACGGGCAUACAUUAACUUGAAAUAUAAACAGUCACAAGUUGUUUCGAUCUCCAUUACAUUACGCAAUUAUAAACGUUCGCAUGGCCAAGUCUCUAUUAUUCCCCUUGCACGCCAAUCAAACUAAAGGUUAUGUCCAGUUCACGCGUUGAUGAAAAAUUUACGCAUAUCACCACCCAGUCAUGGCCAGCUAUUUAGAGACAAUAACAAUUAACCAGUUUCUACCACGUAUUUCAGAUCGGUCUUACGUUUGUGUGUUCUAGCAAACAACAUGGAUCCAAAGUUCUUUACAGCCCAUUCAUUUCGCAUUAGUGGUGCUACUCAUGCUCACAAUUCCAAUAUGUCCGUAUCACAAAUACAGAAGCUAGGUCGCUGGAAGACCAACGCAUACCUAAAAUAUAUCCGUCCCUCGGCUCUCCCUAUAUAAAUCAAGAUAAAGUCGCAACAAUACUCUGCUUACAUUUUUGAAUCUUUAAUCUUAAUUUUUCAGAUGAUCUGACGGUCAUAGGCAGCAGAUCAAUUUUUUCAUAAUUUUGACCACAUGAAAAUUCCUUGAUGUUUUUUAAGAUCUGUCGGUUUUAGGCAGCAGAUCUUUUUAAACAAUAUCAUAAGAGAACUGAAUGCCAUUGCCAACUUUCUCAGUGCUGUCGGUCAACGCCGCAGCCAUGAUAUUGACUUUCAAUGAUUGUCACAUUAUAACGUACAGAACAUAGCUGAUGGUUUAAGGCCACAGUUGAAACAUUUGCUUAAGCUGAUGGUUUUAGGCCACAGUUUUGAAAUUUGACCUGGCUGAUGGUUUAAGGCCACAGUAACUGCUGUGUAAUUUGUUUUGGCUGAUGGUUUAAGGCCACAGUCACGAAAUUUGUCUUAAAUGAUGUCAGUUUGAAGCCGCAAUUGUACAAACUCUAGUAUUAUUUCACAGUAAAGAAGUGCGGGUACCUGUGACAGUCAAUGUAAAUAUGAUUAUUUGUUAUAAAUGUGCUUGCAUAAUACGAACAAUUGAGAGCAGAAUGGUCCGCAGUUGUCGUUAUGAUGUGUCUUUGUUAUACAGCUGUAUAUUAUUUGUCUGUCAGUAUUUUUUUGUAAUUCGUAUAUUUCGUCUCCAAAGUUGUUAGCAAUAACCACUUAUGUAUCAUAUGUGGUCUUUGUCAUGGAUGGGCAAGUCCUUUAUCUAUAUUUAUGAUCAUUUACAUUGCCUUCUGUCUACUGGUAUUGACCAUUUAUUCUGUAUAGGUUGUACAUGUAUAGAUUUAGAUAAUUAAUGCCCUUUACAUGUAUCAUCCACGUGUUUGAUGAUAUGCUGAAAUCCACUUUCAAGUAUUGUGUUUAUACGUGUAUAUGUUAAGAGGCUGCAGAGUCUUUUUUAUAUGUAGGUCAAUGCAAAUAUGAUGAUCCAUCUCUAAUUGUCUGGCAUCAUAUUAUCUCUGUCCACGGUCGAGCUCGUUCCAGUCUUAAGUCUCUCUGGGCGGCGGUUCCCUUUUGGCGGUUUUUUGCCUCCCAGUUAUGUACAUUAGGGAAAACAUUUAUUAUAUGUUUGCUUUGAUUAUGUAUUACGUAAUCAUGUAUUUGUCAGUUUAUGGCAUUUAUAAUAAAUGCCCAGUUUUCAUUCAAACAUAGUUUUCAGUUUUCCCUUUUUCCCAUAAUCGAGUUCGACCUAGACUGUUAUCUCUCCCCCGACCUUGGGCAAUACAUAAAUAACAUUUUAUGCCAACAUAAUUUUUUUUAUGUCAUUGACCUCCCCACUCUCUAUUUUAUAUUAGCCGGGAAUGUUCUGAAGGGAAAUUGCAUUUAACCAUAAAGUUUAUAAAAACAUUGUGUUGCCAGAUUGUUUACAUUAACACACUCUGUUGAAAGAGCAUUAAUUUUACCAUGCUAUUGUUUAUACUGCAGCAAAAUGAGUUCAUGAAUAGAUGUUUGACAUUUAAAAAGCUGUUAGAAUAAGCUUUGAUAGACUAGCAGUUUUGGAACUUUCGAGAGGCCAGUCUUUGAAUAAUUCUGGACGUGAGUAGUUUCACGUCAAUGUUCACUGAUUUAAAAUCCACCUCCUCCCAUGCCUCCUCCUCUUAGUUUAUCAUGCUUACAUUCUAUCUAUUUUCGUUAUAUGUGUUUUACACAGUUGCAAGAUAGUUAAAUGAUUUACUUUGCUUUACAUUAUAGCCUUUUUAGUUCUAUUGUUUUAUUUGAUUUGCAAUUAUGCAAUUCUAGUCUUCAAAGUUGCCAAUUUUGAUUGAAUACAUGCAUGAUUCUAGUCUUUUGGUCGGCGGUUUUUUGCCUCCCUGUUAUGUACAUUAGGGAAAACAUUUAUAAUAUGUUGGCUUUUAUUAUGUAUUACGUAAUCAUGUAUUUGUCAGUUUAAGGCAUUUAUAAUAAAUGCCCAGUUUUCAUGCCUCCCAGUUAUGUACAUUAGGGAAAACAUUUAUAAUAUGUUUGCUUUGAUUAUGUAUUACGUAAUCAUGUAUUUGUCAGUUUAUGGCAUUUAUAAUAAAUGCCCAGUGGCGGUUUUUUGCCUCCCAGUUAUGUACAUAAGGGAAAACAAUUAUAAUAUGUUUGCUUUGAUUAUGUAUUACGUAAUCAUGUAUUUGUCAGUUUAUGGCAUUUAUUAUAAAUGCCCAGUGGCGGUUUUUUGCCUCCCAGUUAUGUACAUUAGGGAAAACAAUUAUAAUAUGUUUGCUUUGAUUAUGUAUUACGUAAUCAUGUAUUUGUCAGUUUAUGGCAUUUAUAAUAAAUGCCCAGUUUUCAUUCAAAUAGUUUUCUGUUUUCCCUUUUUCCCAUAAUCGAGUUCGACCUAGACUGUUAUCUCUCCCCCGACCUUGGGCAAUACAUAAAUAACAUUUUAUGCCAACAUAAUUUUUUUUAUGUCAUUGACCUCCCCACUCUCUAUUUUAUAUUAGCCGCGAAUGUUCUGAAGGGAAAUUGCAUUUAACCAUAAAGUUUAUAAAAACAUUGUGUUGCCAGAUUGUUUACAUUAACACACUCUGUUGAAAGAGCAUUAAUUUUACCAUGCUAUUGUUUAUACUGCAGCAAAUUGAGUUCAUGAAUAGAUGUUUGACAUUUAAAAAGCUGUUAGAAUAAGCUUUGAUAGACUAGCAGUUUUGGAACUUUCGAGAGGCCAGUCUUUGAAUAAUUCUGGACGUGAGUAGUUUCACGUCAAUUUUCACUGAUUUAAAAUCCACCUCCUCCCAUGCCUCCUCCUCUUAGUUUAUCAUGCUUACAUUCUAUCUAUUUUCGUUAUAUGUGUUUUACACAGUUGCAAGAUAGUUAAAUGAUUUACUUUGCUUUACAUUAUAGCCUUUUUAGUUCUAUUGUUUUAUUUGAUUUGCAAUUAUGCCAUUCUAGUCUUCAAAGUUGCCAAUUUUGAUUGAAUAUAUUUAUGAUUCUAGUCUUUGGGUCGGCGGUUUUUUGCCUCCCAGUUAUGUACAUUAGGGAAAACAUUUAUAAUAUGUUUGCUUUUAUUAUGUAUUACGUAAUCAUGUAUUUGUCAGUUAAAGGCAUUUAUAAUAAAUGCCCAGUUUUCAUGCCUCCCAGUUAUGUACAUUAGGGAAAACAUUUAUAAUAUGUUUGCUUUGAUUAUGUAUUACGUAAUCAUGUAUUUGUCAGUUUAUGGCAUUUAUAAUAAAUGCCCAGUGGCGGUUUUUUGCCUCCCAGUUAUGUACAUUAGGGAAAACAAUUAUAAUAUGUUUGCUUUGAUUAUGUAUUACGUAAUCAUGUAUUUGUCAGUUUAUGGCAUUUAUAAUAAAUGCCCAGUUUUCAUUCAAA